UGAGACACGGCCAGAUCCUACGGAGGCAGCAGUGGGGAAUUUGCACAAUGGGCGGAAGCCUGAUGCAGCAACGCCGCGUGAGGGAUGACGGCCUUCGGGUUGUAAACCUCUUUUAGCAGGGAAGAAGCGAAAGUGACGGUACCUGCAGAAAAAGCGCCGGCUAACUACGUGCCAGCAGCCGCGGUAAUACGUAGGGCGCAAGCGUUAUCCGGAAUUAUUGGGCGUAAAGAGCUCGUAGGCGGUUUGUCGCGUCUGCUGUGAAAUCCCGAGGCUCAACCUCGGGCCUGCAGUGGGUACGGGCAGACUAGAGUGCGGUAGGGGAGAUUGGAAUUCCUGGUGUAGCGGUGGAAUGCGCAGAUAUCAGGAGGAACACCGAUGGCGAAGGCAGAUCUCUGGGCCGUAACUGACGCUGAGGAGCGAAAGGGUGGGGAGCAAACAGGCUUAGAUACCCUGGUAGUCCACCCCGUAAACGUUGGGAACUAGUUGUGGGGACCAUUCCACGGUUUCCGUGACGCAGCUAACGCAUUAAGUUCCCCGCCUGGGGAGUACGGCCGCAAGGCUAAAACUCAAAGGAAUUGACGGGGACCCGCACAAGCGGCGGAGCAUGCGGAUUAAUUCGAUGCAACGCGAAGAACCUU
RNAcentral lists this ribosomal RNA (638 nucleotides) under Microbacterium sp. BRS-1. RNAcentral's name for it is "bacterial SSU rRNA". It matches the Rfam family "Bacterial small subunit ribosomal RNA", at positions 320 to 972 of the family's 1533-position model. The record is from RNAcentral. Lineage: Bacteria; Bacillati; Actinomycetota; Actinomycetes; Micrococcales; Microbacteriaceae.